CCUACGGGUGGCAGCAGUGGGGAAUAUUGCGCAAUGGGGGCAACCCUGACGCAGCCAUGCCGCGUGAAUGAAGAAGGCCUUCGGGUUGUAAAGUUCUUUCGGUAGCGAGGAAGGCAUUUAGUUUAAUAGACUAGGUGAUUGACGUUAACUACAGAAGAAGCACCGGCUAACUCCGUGCCAGCAGCCGCGGUAAUACGGAGGGUGCGAGCGUUAAUCGGAAUAACUGGGCGUAAAGGGCACGCAGGCGGUGACUUAAGUGAGGUGUGAAAGCCCCGGGCUUAACCUGGGAAUUGCAUUUCAUACUGGGUCGCUAGAGUACUUUAGGGAGGGGUAGAAUUCCACGUGUAGCGGUGAAAUGCGUAGAGAUGUGGAGGAAUACCGAAGGCGAAGGCAGCCCCUUGGGAAUGUACUGACGCUCAUGUGCGAAAGCGUGGGGAGCAAACAGGAUGAGAGACCCGAGUAGUC
Molecule: ribosomal RNA, 465 nt
Filed under: uncultured Haemophilus sp.
Lineage: Bacteria; Pseudomonadati; Pseudomonadota; Gammaproteobacteria; Pasteurellales; Pasteurellaceae
Description: bacterial SSU rRNA
Rfam family: Bacterial small subunit ribosomal RNA
Source: RNAcentral